Molecule: long non-coding RNA, 1179 nt
Organism: Zonotrichia leucophrys gambelii
Lineage: Eukaryota; Metazoa; Chordata; Aves; Passeriformes; Passerellidae
Exons: 3
Source: RefSeq, a predicted model, not a curated record
GAAGAUAGAUGCAGUUUGUUGGUUGUGUUGUGAGGAAGAAGAAAGAGAAGAAGUUGAAGUCUGUGCUAUGAGGAAGUGCCCAUGAGAAAUUGCUGAGAAGAUGUUCUGCAGCGUGCCCGUUGUCUGUCAUCUCCCCACUUCAAAGGUGGACAGUCAUUUUGCUGCCCGCGUAACCUCACCUACUGUAUGCAUCUGGUUAAGGGAAGAAUAAAGAAUAAAAUUCCACUAUUUUGGAAUACCAGGCAACAUCCAUUCAACAAAACCCGCAUGUAUGGUUCACCACAUACAAAGUCCUUGUCCAGCUAACCUCAAGGGCAAGGACAAUGUUGUUUGUUUUUUCCUUUGCCUUUUUUGUCUCUAACUGAAACAUGUGUCCUUAAUCUUGUUAUUUUUCAAGUUAUGCUGUGCACCAUGAGUUAAAAAUAGCAAAACGUUAGCUCAAGUAAGAAGAACUAAAACGCGUACAAUAAGUCUUGGAUGCUUUUUCUUCAGAUACCUGGAGUUUUUCAGAUUAAAUUGCAUGUCCAACACAUACAUUUUGAAAAGUCUUGCAAUGUUUGGAUUAAUGAUUUUAAAAAAUUUUCUGGUUUUUCCCCUUACUCAUAUAAUUCCUCUCCUUGGUUGUGAUUGAGUCUUCUCUGAAGUACCUCUAGGCAUUAAAGUAAGCCAAGUGCAGUUGGUGAAUUGGAAUGGAGUCAUUAACUGGAGUCAAUUGCCUGCACACAAUUAUCAUGUAAAUUACUUACUAAAACUAUUUUACACGUUUCCUGCUUAAAACUACAUUUAUUUCUGCAUUCUUGACCUUUCUUCUAUUACUUUGAAUAUAAUUUCUGAUGACUGACAACAGGUUUUUAAGCUACUGAUCUUGUUCGUUGUCAGCCUUGCCAUUUUUGUGCUUUUAUUUUCUCAUCAACUUGGACUCUGAACAAACAAUAUUUCUUACGCCUCCCACCUCAUUAAACUUCCACGUUCUUCAGGAGAAAUCACCUAACAUAAUAAAACUCCGAAAUAUUUAAGCCAAGCCGAAUGGUUUAUUUUGCAUUAUAACAAUAACAAUCAUUGCUUACUCUGGGAUGUCGCUGGUGAGAUGUCUUUAUGACAUAUUAUUUUUAUAUUAUAUCAAUUGACAUUCUAUCCCAUUUAAUUCUUAUUCUAGAAUUGUUUGGUAGACUAAUUAGU